GUUCCUAUAGCUCAGCUGGAUAGAGCGUUCCCCUCCUAAGGGAAAGGCCGGAGGUUCGAAUCCUCUUGGGAACG
Molecule: transfer RNA, 74 nt
Filed under: Clostridium sp. CAG:307
Lineage: Bacteria; Bacillati; Bacillota; Clostridia; Eubacteriales; Clostridiaceae
Rfam family: tRNA
About the family: Transfer RNA (tRNA) molecules are approximately 80 nucleotides in length. Their secondary structure includes four short double-helical elements and three loops (D, anti-codon, and T loops).
Source: Rfam by way of RNAcentral